RNAcentral lists this ribosomal RNA (253 nucleotides) under uncultured bacterium. RNAcentral describes it as "partial 16S ribosomal RNA". It matches the Rfam family "Bacterial small subunit ribosomal RNA", at positions 524 to 776 of the family's 1533-position model. The record is from RNAcentral.
UACGUAGGGUGCGAGCGUUAAUCGGAAUUACUGGGCGUAAAGCGUGCGCAGGCGGUGAGCUGUGUCCGAUGUGAAAGCCCCGGGCUUAACCUGGGAAUGGCAUUGGAAACUGGCUCGCUGGAGUGUGGCAGAGGGGGGUGGAAUUCCGCGUGUAGCAGUGAAAUGCGUAGAGAUGCGGAGGAACACCGAUGGCGAAGGCAAUCCCCUGGACCUGUACUGACGCUCAUGCACGAAAGCGUGGGGAGCAAACAGG